GCAUCAGAUGACGAGUGGCGAACGGGUGCGUAACGCGUAUGCAACUUACCUCUAACUAAAGGAUAGCACAGAGAAAUUUGUAUUAAUACUUUAUAAUAUCUGUUUUUCACAUGAUUUACAGAUUAAAGAAUUUCGGUUAGAGAUGGGCAUGCGUGAUAUUAGCUAGUUGGUAAGGUAACGGCUUACCAAGGCAACGAUAUCUAGGGGGUCUGAGAGGAUGAUCCCCCACACUGGUACUGAGACACGGACCAGACUCCUACGGGAGGCAGCAGUGAGGAAUAUUGGUCAAUGGACGCAAGUCUGAACCAGCCAUGCCGCGUGUAGGAUGAAUGCCCUAUGGGUUGUAAACUACUUUUAUAUAGGAAGAAACCUUUUCAUUUAUGAAAAGCUGACGGUACUAUACGAAUAAGCAUCGGCUAACUCCGUGCCAGCAGCCGCGGUAAUACGGAGGAUGCAAGCGUUAUCCGGAUUUAUUGGGUUUAAAGGGUUCGUAGGCGGGAAAUUAAGUCAGUGGUGAAAGCCUGCAGCUCAACUGUAGAACUGCCAUUGAUACUGAUUUUCUUGAAUAUAUAUGAAGUGGGCGGAAUACGUCAUGUAGCGGUGAAAUGCACAGAUAUGACGUAGAACACCGAUAGCGAAGGCAGCUCACU
Molecule: ribosomal RNA, 650 nt
Filed under: uncultured marine bacterium
Lineage: Bacteria
Description: bacterial SSU rRNA
Rfam family: Bacterial small subunit ribosomal RNA
Source: RNAcentral